GCUUCUGUAGUGUAGUUCGGUCAAGCAUGCGAGGCUCUCACCCUCGCGACCCGGGUUCAAAUCCCGGCAGAAGCA
Molecule: transfer RNA, 75 nt
Filed under: Promethearchaeota archaeon
Lineage: Archaea; Promethearchaeati; Promethearchaeota
Also listed under: 1 other name
Description: Candidatus Lokiarchaeota archaeon (microbial mat metagenome) tRNA-Glu
Rfam family: tRNA
About the family: Transfer RNA (tRNA) molecules are approximately 80 nucleotides in length. Their secondary structure includes four short double-helical elements and three loops (D, anti-codon, and T loops).
Source: RNAcentral